This 392-nucleotide ribosomal RNA is filed under the name uncultured bacterium. Its description in RNAcentral is "partial 16S ribosomal RNA". It matches the Rfam family "Bacterial small subunit ribosomal RNA", at positions 523 to 918 of the family's 1533-position model. The record is from RNAcentral.
AUACGGAGGACGCGAGCGUUAUCCGGAUUUAUUGGGUUUAAAGGGUGCGCAGGCGGCCAUUUAAGUCAGCGGUUAAAUCGUGGGGCUCAACCCCAUUCUGCCGUUGAUACUGGGUGGCUUGAUUGCGGUCGAGGUUGGCGGAAUUCGUUGUGUAGCGGUGAAAUGCAUAGAUAUGACGAAGAACACCGAUUGCGUAGGCAGCUGACCAGACCGCAAAUGACGCUCAUGCACGAAAGUGCGGGGAUCGAACAGGAUUAGAUACCCUGGUAGUCCGCACAGUAAACGAUGAAUACUUGUUUUCGGCGAUAUAAUGUCGGAGGCAAAGCGAAAGCGAUAAGUAUUCCACCUGGGGAGUACGCCGGCAACGGUGAAACUCAAAGGAAUUGGCGGGG